This is a long non-coding RNA of Pygoscelis adeliae (Adelie penguin), 867 nucleotides long. RefSeq lists it as uncharacterized. The transcript has 5 exons. The record is from RefSeq and is a predicted model, not a curated record. Lineage: Eukaryota; Metazoa; Chordata; Aves; Sphenisciformes; Spheniscidae.
CCGUGCCGAGGUGUGGCGGCAUGCGGUGGUGCCUUUUGAGGUGCUUCCUGGACAGGCGGUAUUAGAGUUCAGAUAGAGCUGCCACUAUUUACCAAACAUGAAGGUGGUGCUCACAGCUCUGGGGGGGCAGGAGCACUACAGAAAUGCGCAGAAAAGGGAGGAAGGAAGCCCAUCAGCCUGAGGACCGUUUGCAACGUGACCCUGAGAAAGAGGUGCCUGAAAUUCUCAGCAUUUUGAAGGCAACCCAAAUGAGAUGUGACGAAGUGCAGCGUGCUCUUUCUUUUUGCAGAUCUAUGUAUUUACUGAUGUGCAAAGAAGCCCCUUUGGAAGGCCAAACCACCACGCUAUGGAACAGACAGCUAUGUUUGGGUUUGAUUCUGAACAAAACCUUGCUUUUUGUUUCAUAAGUUUUAUUAAAAGAGAUAGAAGAAUUAUUAUACAAAUGUUAAAUGGAUAUCUCAUCUCUUGAUGACAAUUAUGGUUAUGGCAAGAGUAUUACCGUCAAUUGUAAUGCCUGAAAAUGUUGUGAGAACUUCAAGAAACCGAGAUCUGGCUGUACAUCGUCAGGUAAUGCCUCUGGGGUAACGUGCGGAAGAAAAAGAGGGUUCUGCUUUUUCAGAAUUAAGAAAGAUUGUGGUCAUAUUAAAGUCUAUGUUAGCUUCAUCAUCUUAGCCGAUACUGAAGACCAGUGUAAUUUGCAAGAGAAAUUUGAAUGUAAAUAUUGUCAGCAUUUUUUCACACUUUUUCAUUGUGAAACAGAAACCAUUGAAUGUAAUGAGAAGGAAGUUAAGAAACUCCCUCUCAGGAUACUGUGCGUUUCUUACAUAUUGCCACACCCUGUCAGCAAUAAACAGAUCUCUUAAUUGC